Molecule: ribosomal RNA, 253 nt
Filed under: uncultured bacterium
Lineage: Bacteria
Description: partial 16S ribosomal RNA
Rfam family: Bacterial small subunit ribosomal RNA
Source: RNAcentral
UACGUAGGGUGCGAGCGUUAAUCGGAAUUACUGGGCGUAAAGUGUGCGCAGGCGGCCGAGCAAGUCGAGUGUGAAAGCCCCGAGCUUAACUUGGGAAUUGCGCUCGAAACUACUUGGCUGGAGUGUGGCAGAGGAAGAUGGAAUUCCAGGUGUAGCGGUGAAAUGCGUAGAGAUCUGGAGGAACACCGAUGGCGAAGGCAGCCUUCUGGGCCAACACUGACGCUCAUGCACGAAAGCGUGGGGAGCAAACAGG